Molecule: non-coding RNA, 4043 nt
Organism: Salmo salar (Atlantic salmon)
Lineage: Eukaryota; Metazoa; Chordata; Actinopteri; Salmoniformes; Salmonidae
Source: RefSeq, a predicted model, not a curated record
UCAGUUCAAGUAGCUGUAGCUUCCUCCGCAAUCCCCUGUUUUCUUUCUGGCUUUGAGUUAUUUCCAAACGAAACACUGCAUAGUCGUCGUCUACGACUUUACAGAUCUCUGCCACGGCUGCAUUCGCUAGAACCUCCAUGAUGGAGGCUAUUUGAGUGUGAAAAACCAUACUGUUCACGUUAGCCAUUUCUAGCUAGUUAGCAGCCAGCUAGCUAGCUAUCAACCAAGUCCUGUCUCCAACGUGAUUUAAACACUACCUUAGCAGUAGAUCAGGCUUCCCAUCCUCCAUGUAUACUGACUGUAAGAGUACAGAGUGAGAGGAUGUUGGAUCAAGAAAUCUGAUAUGAGAACCCUGCUAUGGAGCAUCUUCUGAUUGGGCAAUGAGGGAUUGCUGUGAGUACAAUGCAAACAUGUUAGUUGAUUUGAUUACUUGACACUCUUUAAUGGUUUGAUCAUUCAAAAGGCAUGGUCACACACUUAAGACAACGAAUCAAGACAUGGGCCCAUAUCCACAAAGAGUCUCAGAGAAGGAGUACUGAUCUAGGAUCAGUUUUGCCUUUUAGAUCAUAAUGAAUAAAAUGAUAUCUUAGAUCACCAGUCCUACUCUGAGAGACUUUGUGGAUACGGACCCUGACAUAAUACCAUUCAGACAGUAGUUCACAGUGGGCUCACCUCAGUGAGAAUGUGUGUGGUCCUGUGCUGCUCAGCUGGUUCCUCUGUGGGUUCAGGAGGUGUAGUCUGGUUGUCCUUCAUGACUAUGGUCCCCUCAGGGUUCCCCAGACCCUCCUCACACCCCUCCUCUAUUAGCUGCACCUCUGGACCCUCCUCCUGGAAGAGACAGGUGAUACAGAUUACACAGACACACUCCCUCAGGUACGUACACACAGAUAAUAAACACACUUUCAACAUGGUGUUUACCCAUCCCCACUAUGUUUGAGUCCUAUACGAUUUCACAGAGUCAAAUUCCUUUGCAUGCAAAUGUAACUGCAAAAUUAUUGGCACCCUUGAUAAAGAUCAGGGAAAUACUAUACUGAACAAAAAAAUGUAUGUUCAUCUUUAUCAAGUGUGUCCAUAAUUUAGGACCCCAUUGAAUAUGCCUUAUAUACAGUAUAUAUAAUUAAGUAGUUGAAUGGAAAUAAUGAAACAUUAUAUAUCCUACACAGUGGAAACACUAUGUAACCGACUUUUUAGGCUUAGUAUAUCACACAAUGUCUGGAUGCAAUAUUCUACCAAGGAAUAUUCAACACUGAAAGCUGUUACUCUCAUUAUUCCAAAUGUAUCUGGAUUUUUUCUGCUGACAAUGAACAUUCAUCAUAGUCUUUGAUGCUGGGUUUGAUCUAAACGUUAGAAGCUAUCGAGUGGAAUGGUUACUUUCUAUAGCUCGGUAUCCAUUCAAUUGACAACAGAUUUGAAAGAAAAUGUGCGCAUUUUCCCACCAGUGGUGUUUCCACCAAACUGACUUGAUGCAGAUAAAAAAAAUAAAAAAAUCAGUGUGUGAUGACGUAGCGCACACGAAAUGUACUUUUUCGCUUACGUUUUCAUGUACAGAAUAAGAAUAUUACGUUCAAUGUGUUUCCAUCGCAUUUUAAACUCUACUGAUAGUUUUGUCACACAAACUGUUGCGUUUAAUAAUAGCAAAUGUGCCCACUCUGGUCUUGGCACGUGCACUCUAGCCAACAGCUCGCAAAUACAGUGCGGGUAGGCUAGUCUACAUAAUGAUAUUAUUAUGGAAAAGAGCAAGAAUAUUUAUUUGUCAAAUGGAAGUCAAGCAUUGAUAUUUCUUUGAAAAUGAGCAUCAAGAUCACCGUGCACUUUCACCACCCUCUGUAGCCUAAUAAACUACAUGGCUUUCCCGAGUCGUAGUGGGAGGAUCACACACCAUGCCAUCGCGUGAUUCCCAAGUUUACUUCGAUAUGAUGUCUUUUAUAUCAACAGUUGCGCAUUAAGGCGUUUCCACCGCCCUUUCUCUCAUAAUUAAUUUUACAGAUGCAAAAAGAUCCCUUGUCGAACAAACAAAUUCUGUAGGCAUUUAGAAAAUUGUACCGAAACUUCCUGUUUCCAUCACAGCUGCCAUGAUUUUUUGUUUUUUCUCUCGGUAUGACUUUACUUGCAUAAAAUCUGUGAAUGGAAACAUGGUUCAUGUUCUAGAGUGGAAUGGUUUUUCUGCUGGUGUAUGCUGAGGUAGCUCCUCUCUGAGAACCUCUUCCCACAGUGCGUACAGGCGAACGGCCUUUCUCCUGUGUGGACCUAGAGGUAUAUUUUCAGAUGGUGCUGGUGGGAGAACCUCUUCUCACACUAGGGGCAGCUGUAGGAUUUCUCCCCUGUGUAGACCACCUGGUGCCUCUUCUUGUGUCCAGCUUGGGUAAAGCGCAUAUGACACUGGGUACAGCUGAAGGAUUUCAUCCCUGUUUGGAUCCUAUACACUACUACUGUACUGGUUCCAGUCCUCUCUAGACAGAUCAGUCUGUGUCUCUAAACCCAAGGAUAUGUUGCCAGGGUCCCAAUGAGAUUGAAUCGUCCUCAUGCUCAGGUUACUCUGAGUCGGGAGCAGGAGGACAGUCCAAUGGCCCCAGCUCCAGUCUCUCUGGGUCUGAUCUGUGGUCAGAUCCUGUGUGUAAGAGCCUUUGUGUUAAAGUCUCUGUGUCUGUCUCUGACUUGAAGACAGUGUUCUGCAUUCUACUGACCUCCAUGAUGUUGCGGCAGGUCCUGGGUUGGGGCGUGGCAGUGCGGUUCUCCGUGGCUACAGGGGGCGUCCCAAUCUCGAUGUGUCUUCUGUGUAGUGGGUCCUCUCCUUCAGACCUCUCCUGCUUGACCUUAGGACCUCUAGCCUCUGCAUCUGCAGACUGACACAGACUGAUAUUAAUUAAUGGGCCACAUUUUAUGUACUGUCAUUUUUCAUGUUACACUUUUACACUAACCUCUAUCACAAUAACAUGCUGGGUUGAGGUUCCACUCCCCUCAUCAACAGUGAUUGGUUGGUCAUCUCUCCACGCGUUGUGUCCCGCUGGCUUCACAAAGCUCCUGUGGCCUCCAGUAAGAUGUCCUGAGAGAGAGAUUGGGGGAAAAGAGGUGGUGAGGUACUGUCAAUGCUCAACGGUAUAUUGUACACUAUUGACACUGCCUGCAACUGGGUAAAGUUGAUGAUGCAGUUGACCUUAAAGGGCCCCAGGACCAAAGAUCCACCACUAUAUUUUACAGUAAGGUAUGAGGUUAUUUUCUGCUCAUGCAUUCUCAUUUCGAAGACAAACACAUCACUGGUGUGCGUGGCCAUAGAGCUCUAUUUCAUGUUAUCCAACAAAUGAUUCUGAUUAAUAAGGCUGUAAUACACAAUGAAUUGGUAUAUACAGCCUGAAACUAAUGCCUCCAAAUGUAAAAUUGUGUAAAUGUACAUACUAUACAUUUAAACUUACUCUGGCAGCUGUGAAUUUUGAGACAAAAUACAGACAGGAAAGUAUUGUUUACCCAACUUUUCAGAGAGCUGGUGGUUCAGUUUGGCACCGAGGUGUUACGUUCCCUAGUUUCUGUGUUGUAGUUUGUGUAUUUGUGAGUGUGUUUCAGGUUAUGGCUUCCUGAAAUUCUCCAAGCAGCUGAUUGGUCGGCCCCAUUACUGAUUGGAGAGCUGACCCCGCCUCCUCGUCAGGAUGCAGCUGUCUCCAAUUAACAACUCCUUCUCCAGCUAUAUGUGUGUGUGUGUGUGUGUGUGUGUGUGUGUGUGUCUUUUUUCAGAAAGAGAUUUUGUAUGUACUCUGUUAGUUGUUACUGAGGUAGCUGAUUGGAUAAGUCUGUGUCAAUAGGACGCAGUGUUUGGAUUAUUGGAAUUGUUACUUACAUUUGUGUUUCUGUUUAAUUUAUUCCCAGGGGGAAGGCACCUAGGGAGUGCCUUCCUCUGCACCAAUUUGUAAGUCGCUCUGGAUAAGAGCGUCUGCUAAAUGACGUAAAUGUAGGACAGGGGGCUUUGAUAUUUACUUUCUUUGCUUUGGUUCCGUCCAGCCCCUUUUUCCCCAAACUUACCGUGCGAAAGAAUAAAUUCCCUGUAAACGGUA